RNAcentral lists this long non-coding RNA (1166 nucleotides) under Numida meleagris (helmeted guineafowl). RNAcentral describes it as "lncRNA (ENSNMEG00000002368.1)". Lineage: Eukaryota; Metazoa; Chordata; Aves; Galliformes; Numididae. The record is from RNAcentral.
GAAUCCCAUUGGGCCUCCCCAGAUCCCAUGGGGUGACCCCAAAACCCAUGGGGUGACCCCGACUCCCAUUGGGCCUCCCCAGAUCCACUUGUUGUCCCCAAAUCCCCUGGGGUGUCCCCAAAUUCCAUGCGGUGUCCCCAAGCCAUGGGAUGUCCCCAACCCCAUGGCGAUGUCCCCAACCCAACGCGAUGUCCCCAACCCAUGGAGAUGUCCCCAACCCAGCGCAAUGUCCCCAGCCCCAUGGCGAUGUCCCCAUCCCAAGGAGAUGUCCCCAACCCAACACGAUGUCCCCAACCCCAUGGAGAUGUCCCCAACCCAACGCGAUGUCCCCAACCCAACGCGAUGUCCCCAACCCAUGGGAUGUCCCCAGCCCCAUGGGAUGUCCCCAACCCCAUGGAGAUGUCCCCAACCCACUUGGUGUCCCCAGCCCCACGGCGAUGUCCCCAACCCAUGGCGAUGUCCCCAACCCAAUGCAAUGUCCCCAACCCAACGCAAUGUCCCCAACCCAAUGCGAUGUCCCCAGCCCCAUGGGAUGUCCCCAACGCCAUGGAGAUGUCCCCAACCCACUUGGUGUCCCCAGCCCCACAGCGAUGUCCCCAACCCAUGGCGAUGUCCCCAACCCAAUGCAAUGUCCCCAACCCAACGCAAUGUCCCCAACCCAAUGCGAUGUCCCCAACCCAUGGGACGUCCCCAACCCCAUGGAGAUGUCCCCAACCCAUGGAGAUGUCCCCAACCCAACAAGAUGUCCCCAACCCCAUGGAGAUGUCCCCAACCCAACACGAUGUCCCCAUCCCAAGGAGAUGUCCCCAACCCCAUGGGAUGUCCCCAUCCCAAGGAGAUGUCCCCAACCCAUGCAGAUGUCCCCAACCCCAUGGAGAUGUCCCCCACCCACGGCAAUGUCCCCAACCCAGUUGGUGUCCCCAGCCCCACGGCGAUGUCCCCAACCCACCUGGUGUCCCCAACCCCACCCCAUUGCUUGAUGUCCCCCCCUCCCCACCGUGCAGGUUGGGUCGGGGUGGGGUUGCGGGACGGGGCCCCCCCCGAUGCCCCACUGCGAGGCUGCGCCCAGGCCCUGCUCCUGGAGGAGCUCCUGGGUCCCGACCUCCCCCCGGGGGCACCCAUGGGUGCCGCCCUGCGCCCGCUGCAGCAGCGCCUGCGCCGAUGCC